Molecule: non-coding RNA, 9644 nt
Organism: Monodelphis domestica (gray short-tailed opossum)
Lineage: Eukaryota; Metazoa; Chordata; Mammalia; Didelphimorphia; Didelphidae
Source: RefSeq, a predicted model, not a curated record
GCCAAGAGCCAACUGCUUGACUGGAUUUGAAGUCUUGGGGCUUCUGGCUGAUCUGAAGGAAGAAGCUGGGUUUAUCUCUGGGACUUGGGAUAAUCAAGCUGGAAGUGAUCUGGCUGAUCUGAAGGCAGAAGAAGAAGGACAAGAGUCCAUACAUCUCUCCCUGACUGGCUGUUUCAUGCUAGUGACUGAAUUGCCAUUUCUCUCAAUAUCCUCCAACCAUACACUCAUUGUAAUCCCAUCCCUCUUACCUUAUCCUCCAUCUUUCCUGUUUUCCCCAAUAAACCCUGACUUGAGAUAAAGAAGAGAAAAGAAUAUUUCCUCUGAAACAUCACAGCUCACCCUGAGUGUCUUAGAAGGGGCUGAAGAAGAGAGGGGGAGGGGAAACUGAAGGGAAGAAGAGAGGAGGAAGGGAGGUUUAGAGGGAGGAGGGUAGGUAAAAGAAUACCUGAUCCAUUAGUUAUCUAGUAUCUGUCCAAUAUACACCCUCAAAUAUCAUCUAUUUCACUAGCUGUGUGACCCUGGACAAGUCACUUAAUCCUGCUCCACUCGUUUCUUAUCUGUAAGAUUAACUGGAGAAGGCAAUGGCAAAGCACUCUAGUAACUUUGUCAAGAAAGCUGCACUGGGGCCCUGAAGAGUAGGGUGUGACUGGAAGGCUGACUAAAAAUGACAAGGACAUACAGACGCAUAAACAUACAUAUCAGAUAGACAUAUAUGUAUCCGUGAAGUCAAACCGGCUCAAGUAGCAAGAGCCCAGAAGCAGCAUCUGCCACGGACAUCCAUCCCGACAAGAGCUAGGCCAGAACCCUGAACCCCAAAGCCUUAGCUCCGCCCCGCAGUCCUCCCUGCGCCCUGUGAAGUGACUCGGCAUCGGGAUCUUCUCUCGCCGCCAUCACGAUGGCGAAGCUGUCAGAGAAGUGCUCCUGCCCUUUGCUUCUGGGCGGGGAAGAACUUUCCACGGGACUCGCAGCUAGAAUCUUCCUUCUGCCUUGGCCUGGCUGUGGGACUGCCGGACCCAGCCUGGAUCUAAUGUGUGCUUCGUUCAUUCCUUUGUCUGUAUAUACGUGGGCCCAAACUGCCAGUUCUGCCCGCAGUCCGCCAUAUCUGGACGCACACGUGUCCUCUGAGCAGCUUCUUCUUUCCGCCCAAUGAAUCCACGGCCGCCUUGAGCUCUGGGAACGCGCAGAGGGGCGCACCGGAAGCCAUUAUUUGUAGGCUGUUUCCGCGGGGCCGCGUAAGGUGAAAACUGCCGCCUGGAGCCCUUCGGAGGGGCUGUGGCCAGGCACGUAGGAGGAGAGAGUUCUGGGACCGGGAAGCUCGUGUUUCCUGGGUUUGCGGGACGACGAAGAUGCCGAGUUCAGGAAACUCGCUUUGGGCUGGGCUUGUUUUCCGGAGAAGUUCAGUCCCUUCUAAGGCUGCCUCUCUGCACGCCCAGGGCCAGUGGCCUGGCCACAAACGAGCCCGGAAAUCAGGUCUGAAGUCUCUGAUCAUUUGGAAAAGAUGGAGCUAACCGGAAGCUCCGCAAGGGAGGCCAGUGGGGCUGAGGCCAGCCAGGGAGGGGCUCAGCUGAUGGCUCAGAAUUGUCUGCCCAUAUGGACGAGCAGCACGUAAUGAGGAUGGAUGGCGCACCUAAGUGGAUCGGAAAUGGCUGCAGCGAGGGAGGGAUGGAGCCGCUGCCGGGCUUCCUUUGAACACUGCUCAGGGAUGAGGCUACCUUUGAGGCUGAGGGAAAGCUCUCUCCUUUUGUCCUGGGAGCUGACCAAGGGAGGCCUGAUGGAAACACACAUUCUCCAAGCACCCAGGGCCGGGGCGAGCGGGUGCCCCCUCCCGGCUUCCAAACAAAAGCCUUUCUCUCGCGAGCUGCCCAGGGUUCCGGCAGGCCAAGGUGGCCUCUCUGAAAACCAGGGAUGUGACUCUGCUGGGUAAUCAAGAUAAAUGGAGGCAGGCUGAGAGCAAAGCUGUCUAAAAGAAUACGGGGGUGAUAUUAAUAACUAAUGAUCCAGGUUGGGGCAUUAUUGAAGGCAAUAGAAGUAAAUAAAUCAACAGCUUUGUGCAAAUAAUUCUUUCUAUCUACCUGCUUAAGAGAGUGUGAAUUGUUGUGGUGCAGCUUGAUUUCAUAUUCCCAUCAUUCCAGGAAAGUGCCGAUGCAGGAAGCUCUCUCGCAAUGAAUAUUUCACCAGACAGUGGAGGGAGGCAGAAAAAAUCCAAAAAUGCAUCUAUUGGGUCCCUGACGGUAUUAUAAAAGGAUCAAGCAUUCGAGUUCAUUUCCAAAUAACAAUAAUAAUGCUUUAUAGUUACACAGCACAUUGGGUCCAAGGAUUUCAAAAGGUCAGCUCCAUCCACAGCAGACGAGUCUUUUUUUCAUUAAAAUUAAUAGCACUUCUGCUGCUGAAAAUUCAAAACUGAUAAAUAGUAUCUGACUUCUGCAAUGUUAGCAAAGUGUGGGCAAUGAGAAAGUUCUAGAACUCUGGAGCAUCGCCCUCUCCAUCCUUUUUAAUCAACUUACCGAGCAGGCCAAGAAUAAAGACAGACUCUGGACACUCAAUCUGGGGGCUCCUGCCAAAGCCAUGCGAAUUCCCAAAGAGUAAAGGCUGGUCUCUGAAGGACUUCUCUGGCUCCUCUUUUCAUUGCUAGAGAGAAUGUUCUUUGAGCUAGGAAAGGGUGGGGAUUGGGGAGGGGGGGAAUCAUGAUUGCAAGUAAAAGGAGCCCAAGAUAACAGCAGAGACAGCCCAAGCCAUAUCUCUCUGCCCUCAAAGAGGCCACAACAUCAGGACUGGACAAAGCACUUCCUGGAAGAGUGAAUGAAUGUGAACUGAGAUUGCCCAGGAAGCUGUGAAAGUGGAAAAAACCCCAGAGAUUUAGGGGAGAGCCAGGGGUGCAUUCCAGGAGGACUACAGAAAGGCAAAUGAAAUGAUCAAACAAUCAAAACAAAUAAAGAUUGAGUCUGAAAACCCUAAACCAACAAACCCAGGAAUUGUGUGAACACAAUUACAGAACAGUCUUCACACAAAUGAAGUCAGAUCUAACCAUUCAUUUGUUCAUGGGUAGGUAGAACCAAUAGAAAAAAAAAUGACAACUCUACCUAAAUCAACUUACUCUCCAAUGCCAUGCCAGUCAAACUACCCAAAAAUUAUUUCAGAGCUACAAAAAAAUACCAUUUAUCUGGAAGUACAAAAGGUCAAGAAUAUCGGGAAUUGAUGACAAAAUAUGAAGGAAGGUAAUCUAGCUAUACUGGAUUUCAAACUAUUAUAAAGUGACAGUCACCAGAACAAUCUGGUGGAUCUGCAGUGGACCAAUGGAAUAGAUUGGGCACUCAGUGUGCAGCAGUAAAUGACUAAACGUGCACUAGUAAAAUACUUCACACUCUUGCUCUAAAGAUCAAGAAUUUUGUUUUUAAUUUGGUACCUAUGAAGCUUCAGGAGAUGGCUUAGUAACCAUAGCAACACUAGCCUUUGACAAACCCAACGAUGCAAGCUUUUGGAGGAAUAAUUCACUAUUUGAGAAAAACUGCUGGGAAAACUGGAAAACGGUGCAGCAGAAACGAGACAUGGGCCAACACCUCACACCAUAUAUCAAGCUAAAAUCAAAAUGGAUACAUGAUUUAGCAAUAAAGGGUGACACUACCAUAAAAUUUUUAGGAGAACACAAAAUAGUUUCCUUUUCAGGCUCCUAAAUAAGGGACAAAAUGAUGACCAAACAAGACACAAAAAAUUACAAGAUAUAAAACAGAUAACUUUGCCUAUGUUAAAUUUAAAAGGGUGGUGGCACAGACAAAACCAAUGCAAGUUGGAUUAGAAGAGAAGCUACAAACUGGGGUGGGGAGAGAUUUACAGCAAAUGUCUCUAAAAAGGGCCUCAUUUCUCAACUAGAGGGAGAAAUUUAUAAGAAUACAAAGCAUUUCCCAGUUGACAAAUGAACAAACAGGCAAUUCCUGGAUGAAGAAAUUAAAAACAUUUUUAUUUAUAUGAAUAAAUGCUCCAACUCACUAUUGAUUCAAGGAAUAGAAAUUAAAACAACUCAGAGGCAUCGCCUCAUAGCUCUCAGACUGGCUAAUAUGACAAAAAAGAAAAAUGAUGAAAGUGUGGGGAAACUGCUGAUGGCACCAUGAGCUGAUACAACCAUUCUGGAGAGCAAGUCUGAGCCAUGCACAAAGGGCCAGAAAACUGUGCAUACCCUUUGACAUAGCCAAACAACUACUAGAUCCAUAUUCCCAAAGAUAUCAAAUAUAGGGGGAAAAGACCUACUUGUACCCAAAUAUUUAUAGAAGUUCUUCUGUGGUGGCAAAAAAUUAGAAACCAAAGGGAUGUCCAUCAACUGGGAAAUGGCUAUGGUACAUGGUUGUAAUGAUACACAGGAGAGCGUGCACACACACACACACACACACACACAGAGAAAGACUUAUAUGAAAUGAUGCAAAAAAAGAGAGCAGAUCUGGAAGAAAGAUGUACAUAGUAACAGCAGUGUUGUAUGAUGAGCAUCUGUAAAAGACUAAACUAUUAUCAGCAAUAUAAUGAUCCAAGAGAACCCAACAAGACUCAUGGUGACAAAGAAUGACCACCGCCAUAGAAGAAAUGGAUGGAGUUGCUCCAGAAUGAAACAUACCAUUCUUCAUGUUAUUCCUUUCAUGGGUUUUUGCUUGUCUAAGUAAUAUAUGUCUUCUUUUACAACUUGAUGGACACAGAGAUAUAUAUAUUGCAGGAUAAUGCAUGCAUAACCUGCAUCAUAUUACCUGCUGUCUCGGAGAAGGGUUUGUGGAGGAAUUUCAAACAUGGAUUCUAAAAUGUCAGGAAAAGAUGAUUAAAAAUUGGGAAAUGUAUUUGGGGAAAUAAUCAUUUUAAUAAUAACCACAGAUCAGUGGGAUGGACUUCCCUCAUUAGCAAACCAGAAAGUGAAGCAAUGCUCAUUAAAAAGCAGCACGACUUCACAAUGGAAGAGUGAUGUCAGGCCAACUACAUUCCAUUGUUUUCUUUGGCCUGGUCAAACUGGCUGCUCACAGAUAUGCCCAAGAGCUGUAGUAGGAGUCAGAUUUGCAGCCCUCUCGGUGACUUCCUUCAUCUAGGACCUGACUGGGGAGAAGAAACUCCCUCAACUAUUGCAGUGGCACAUAAAGCUUGAAGAUAACUGAAUUUAUUUAUGAAUGGCAAUUUUCUAUAAAUUGGAAAUCCAAUCAGCAGAGAACAAAAUAGGCCAUUGGCAAGAGUAAUGCAGUGAGAUGGCUGAUUCAGAGAUGGAGAAGAGGAAGAACAAUAUGAAGUUCUGGUCAUCUGAGUGACUCUCAAGUGUAAAGAAGGAAAAAGAGUCAGUGGUUUCUGAUCAAGCCCUAUUUCCUUUCUCUAUCUUUCCUUUGAGACAGCCUUCCUAGGCUCCAGGCUCAAGAUCGGGCAUCUUGUCCUGGGUUCUUUUAGACCAUCAAAUAUGGCACAACUCUGAUUCAUAGAUGAGGAAAAGCUAUCCAAGGCUGCCAGAUAAGUGAGGAUGAUAAGCAGCAACGCAUGUAACCCAUGAGCUGAUUCCAAGAUAGCUUCCUCUUAGAGGUACAUCUAGAUCUUGCAACACCCCCAGGUAAUCUCCUGCCUCAGUUCUCAGUCCAAUAUCUGACAAGCCCCCUGGACAGUUGUCUUCACAUGCCACACUCAGGUGAAUUUAAUGUGUGCUGUCAGCAAGGGGGAACUCUCCUCUUCCCAAGGGCAUCAUUACCUUGUCCGUAAUGCCAUUAUGGCAUCUCACAUGUGGGCACUUUUGUCCUCGUGCUUUUUGGCCCAGCUGGUUAUUUGGAGGCUCAUCAUGUGUGACUCCAGUUACUGUCAGAGGUCUGGGUCCUGAAGAGGCUUAAAACAAAAGCUCUCACCCAGGGUGGAGGGACACAAGAUUUUGCUUCUAGAUGGUAAAGGGCAGAAGUUGAACAGGACCUGGGAGAAUCCCAUGACUGUUUUAGGAAAACUGUAUUUAUUCUGAAACAAAAGUCAUUGUAAUGGCUCAAACUGCACCGUGACAGAAGCCCAUCCAGAUGUGAGCAGAGAGCUUGAAAUUCCUCCACUGUGUCCCAAACUUCGCAUUCUACCCUUAUCCCACAACAUUCUCCUUUCUGUGUCCUGAAUUCCAAGCAAACAGAAUUCAUUUGAGCUCCUCAUUAUCAUUUAAUCAUCUGUACUUUCUUUGCCUUAACCCUGGGAAUCCUUCCCUUCAAGAAUGAGUUCCUCAUCCACCUAUCUCAAGUCUGUCCCUUCAGGGCUCGAUCCAUGACUCAGUCAACCAUCAGGGGGAAAAUACCUGGAAGACUUUCUUGGCCUUGACCACCAAGUGUCACAGAAUAGAGCAUCCUUGGGAAAGUGAUGGCCCCAAGCUCUCCUUUAUGUUGCACUUCCCAGAAUGCUCCUGUUCAUCUGUCUCCAGGGCCCGUGUAUGCUUCCCUCUCUCCUUGGAUUGCUUUGGAAUCUUCUUAAAACCCCAAUAGCUCAUUUGGGUGAGGUUCUUAUGAGAAAAAGCAAAGAAACUAAUGAAUGGGUCUUUGACUUUAGCUUUUGGGGAGAGAAAAGCAGGGAGGCAGGGACAGACCACUGGUUCUUACUUCAGAAUGGGAGAGAUUGGCAUGCUAAGCACAGUCAGAGUCAGAUGAUGACCUUUAAUUUACAAAUAAACUGGGAGGCCUUGGGAUCAGACCUUUUCCCCUCCUAAGAUGCCAGUUUCCUCAUCUAUCGGGUAGGGGUGACUGGCCCAUCUAGAAGGUCCCUUUCUGCUCUCUAUCUAGGAAAUUCUGAAGCUUUUUUUAAUGUCCACUUUUGCUGUUAUUAAUCUAGGAGGCAUCACAGUCAAUACAGAGAUGGUUUUAGAGUCAGAAAGAACUGGAUUCAAAUCCUACUCCUAGUUGUUAAUUUGCCCACCUUAGACAAGGCAUUAUAGGGAAAGCCAUGCACAGUUGUUAAGUACCUACUAUGUGCCAGGAAUUGUGUUAAAUGUUUCACCAACAUUAUCUCAUUGGAUCUUCAGAACCUAGAAGGCAGCAGGUCUUCCCCCUGUGUGCAUCUCAGAGAAACUCCCUAAACAUCUCCUAAGUUAAAAAAGGCUGGAGGAAGGGUGUCCCAUCCUAAAGAAAUCACAUCUGGAAUGACUGCGAAAUGGGGAUAUUGAGAUAGAAAGAAACCACAUCUCAGAAUUGGGAAGGUGUUGAUGUGCCUUCCUGGCUUCCACCUGUCAUCACAGCUCACCUCCUUGGUGAUAGCAGCAGGGCACAAGAUUGCUGGGAGAUCCAGUGAGACGCCGAAAUGGUGUAUAAAUGCUACUAAUAUUACCAGCCCUGCUGUCACCAUCCUAGCACGUUUCACUCAGAUACUCUAGAAUGGAGGCAUGAAAGAAUGACAGGCAGAUGGGGAAAAGAUGUUCCAGAUCACCACAGAUGACCCUUCCCUUUUCCAUUUGUGAACGCUCCCUGGGACCCAGGGAGGCCAGUGACAGACCGGAAGCUGAGCCUGGGAUCGCUUCCUGAGCACAGACCUCCUUCUGCUCCCUCGACCGCACCACAUUUGUCCCUGACAGUUCCUCACCGAAACAUGGUCCUGUGUUUCCCGUGUGUCUUUCCAAAGCGACAACACAUGAUCCUCAUGGGACAAAGCCGUUCUCAGUCCCUGUGCCGUGAUAGCAUCUCCCACUAAAAGGGAGCUAAUUACGAAAAUGGACCAGCGUCCUCUCUAAUCUGGAAUAUUGUUUUUUAAUCUAAUUCUCCUUCCAGGAUAAUUACUCAGAAUCAAUCAUUGUCAGGAUUAUAACAGUAAUCAGUUCAGGGCGAGAAAAUGUUGCUCAUAUCUCCGAGUCCAAUUUCUUCCCUAGAUAAAGAGAUCAAAUCAGUUCAGCACCUGGGACAGCAUUCCUGCUAUUUCUGAACAUGCUUCAGCUGUGCUAUGUUCCUUCCAUUUUAAGGUCCUUGGUCAUGUGUGUGUGCAGCAAUGGGAGAAAAUAUUCUAGAAACAAUUACAGCUCUUUGCCACAUUCCUCAAGUGAGAGUCUCACUGCAGAGGGCUCAUCAGAGACUACCACUAGUUCUAGGGGGAUGUCAGCGAGUCGCUUCUUGAAUGGACCACUUCCAGCCUUACAAGCAGACACCUGGAUAGGAAACAUCCCUGGAAAGAGCUUUUCCAGGAAGAGUCUGGCCUGUCACUCCCAGCUCUCUUAGACCAUGCUCAGACGACAAUUCCUCUGCACCUAGAUAAAAACUUAAGAAGAUUCUCUGGCCUCCCAGAACAAAGACGUUUCCCUGGCAUGGAAGCCAUUUUAUGGAUUCUCUCUAUUCCUUGUACCAGAGGCAAACUCCUCUCAAACUAUAUCUAUUAUGUACUUUAAAGAAAAUGAAGGAUCAAAUGUUUGCAAGUGUAUGGAAUCCAGAGUCCACUGAACCAAAGCACUCAUCAUACAAAUGAGGAAACUGAGCCCCAGAGAACUUGAGUAUUGUGCCCAAAAUAAGCCAGGAGGCAAACACUGGAAGAAAUAUUUGAACCUAGGUCUUCUGCUCCUCUGAACACUGAAUGAGUGCUUUGCUUAAACCACCCUCCCUAGCCUUCUGAGCCCAAUGUAUGCCUGUGGUGUUUCAAGAGAAAAAUUCAGCAAAGUAGGCUGGCAGCACCUUUCUUUCUUCGUGUUUUGAAUGGAGCCUAUAAUUGAUCAAGAUUUCUUGCUUUUCUCUAGUUUUCAUUCAGUGCUGAUGGCAAGAUAGGCUUUCACAAGCAGCAAUAACUAACUCCUUAUACUGACGAUUCUUACCACCUCCGAUGACUUACUGCUAAUGAAGCUUCAUGAGAUACACCCCAGCAAAUCCAUCAUAGGGAGAAAAGCUCUCCAAGCUCUGGCCUGUGCCUGACCAUUUUUUGAGUUGGAACUCCAAAACUGUCCUCCCAUUGAGAACCAGCAAACAUUUGUGCCUUGGUGGCAGAUUUCUUUAGAUGCAUGACUUAAUACAAGAAGCUACAGAGAUUAUUGGGAAAAUAUUGAACAGAGAGGCAGAAGGGUCAGAGUUUGAAUCUUGCCCUAGAAACUUGAUAGCUGUAUGACCCUGGGCAAUCAUUUAACUCUCUGAGUCUAAUUUUCCCCAUUGGCAAAAUGGGGUUUUUAAUGGUACCUCCCUCUUAGAGUUGCUGUGAGGAACACAGGAAGGAACAUAUGUAAAUUGUUUUGCAAGCCUUAAAGCACUCUAUGGAGACUAGUUAUUAUUAUUAUCAUCAUCACAUAUGCAUCACUGAUGCUUGGGAGAUUCAGGACUGGCACAGACCUCUCUAAAAGUCAAUGUCAAUUGGACUGGGGUGCAUAUAGAUAUCCUAGGAAUCAUAUUUGGGUCUCUUCUCAAAAUGGGGAAAUGGAAAUGGGGGAAUUCCUUUCCUAUUUUCUCUUUAUCAUUUGCCCAAUUCUGUCUUCAUUUCUCUACCCAGGGAUUUGGAUAAUCUGCCUUUGAUUUAAGAAGAUGAAAGUUUCACUUAGUUCAAUUAUCCCCAAUCUAAAAACCACUAGAUUGAACUGCUUAUAUCUGCAUAAAUUAUGUGAGUGACUCCAGGAAAUUCCUGAAAAAGAAAAAAAAAUGUUAUUUCUAAGCCGAUCUAUCCAGUUGGCAUCAUGCUCAUCUAAAAAAAUAAAUAAAAUAAAACAGAAUAAGCAAAAUCCUCAA